RNAcentral lists this ribosomal RNA (242 nucleotides) under uncultured bacterium. RNAcentral's name for it is "partial 16S ribosomal RNA". It matches the Rfam family "Bacterial small subunit ribosomal RNA", at positions 524 to 765 of the family's 1533-position model. The record is from RNAcentral.
UACAGAGGGGGCAAGCGUUAUUCGGAAUUAUUGGGCGUAAAGGGCGCGUAGGCGGCCUGGCAAGUGGAAGGUGAAAUCCCUCGGCUUAACCGAGGAACUGCCCUCCAAACUGCUUGGCUUGAGACCGGGAGAGGUGAGUGGAAUUCCCAGUGUAGCGGUGAAAUGCGUAGAUAUUGGGAGGAACACCAGUGGCGAAGGCGGCUCACUGGACCGGUACUGACGCUGAGGCGCGAAAGCGUGGG